CUGGCUCAGGAUGAACGCUGGCGGCGUGCCUAAUACAUGCAAGUCGGACGGAUGAUCUAUCAUCAGUGGCGAACGGGUGAGUAACACAUAGGUAACCUGCCUCCAGGCGGGGGGACAACAGCUGGAAACGGCUGCUAAUACCGCAUAGGGACACUGACCGCAUGAUCGGUGUCUUAAAGAUCCUUUUGGAUCACCUGGAGAUGGACCUAUGGCGCAUUAGCUUGUUGGCGGGGCAGCGGCCCACCAAGGCGACGAUGCGUAGCCGGCCUGAGAGGGCGGACGGCCACACUGGGACUGAGACACGGCCCAGACUCCUACGGGAGGCAGCAGUAGGGAAUUUUCGGCAAUGGGGGGAACCCUGACCCAGCCAUGCCGCGUGAGGGAAGUAGGCCCUACGGGUCGUGAACCUCUUUUGUCGGGGGACAAGGACGCCCACGAGAUGGGUGUUUGCGGGUACUCGGCGAAUAAGCAUCGGCUAACUCCGUGCCAGCAGCUGC
Molecule: ribosomal RNA, 497 nt
Filed under: uncultured bacterium
Lineage: Bacteria
Description: bacterial SSU rRNA
Rfam family: Bacterial small subunit ribosomal RNA
Source: RNAcentral